RNAcentral lists this ribosomal RNA (497 nucleotides) under uncultured bacterium. RNAcentral describes it as "partial 16S ribosomal RNA". It matches the Rfam family "Bacterial small subunit ribosomal RNA", at positions 28 to 507 of the family's 1533-position model. The record is from RNAcentral.
GAUGAACGCUGGCGGCGUCCCUAAUACAUGCAAGUCGAGCGAACGGACGAGAAGCUUGCUUCUCUGAUGUUAGCGGCGGACGGGUGAGUAACACGUGGAUAACCUACCUAUAAGACUGGGAUAACUUCGGGAAACCGGAGCUAAUACCGGAUAAUAUUUUGAACCGCAUGGUUCAAAAGUGAAAGACGGUCUUGCUGUCACUUAUAGAUGGAUCAGCGCUGCAUUAGCUAGUUGGUAAGGUAACGGCUUACCAAGGCAACGAUGCAUAGCCGACCUGAGAGGGUGAUCGGCCACACUGGAACUGAGACACGGUCCAGACUCCUACGGGAGGCAGCAGUAGGGAAUCUUCCGCAAUGGGCGAAAGCCUGACGGAGCAACGCCGCGUGAGUGAUGAAGGUCUUCGGAUCGUAAAACUCUGUUAUUAGGGAAGAACAUAUGUGUAAGUAACUGUGCACAUCUUGACGGUACCUAAUCAGAAAGCCACGGCUAACUACGUG